GGGUCAUAUUUUCGUAUGACAGUAUUAUGAAACGUGUCAGCUCUUUCUGGUGUUUUAUUUCUUUAGGUUUUGAUAAGUUCUUGCUGGUCUUUUAUUUUCUUGUUUUCUGUGUGAUCUCGCGAGAGUUUGGCGGGAAUGUUGUGCAGGUUUUGAAAAGAGUUUACGUGGUUGAUGUAGAGAACAUUCUGUUAAUUUGAACUUGUUUAUAUGAUUUACAUUUGGUUGAGCUAUCCAAGUGUUUGUGAGAAGUAUUUAAGUUAACCAUCACGUGAGACAGGAUGUAUGUGAUGUGAAGUGAAGUGCUAUAGAUUCUAAUUUGUCAUUGGUUUAUUGUGGAAUAGGCUUAAGAUCCCAUAGAUCUUGCCUUGAUUAAAGUUAACUUCAACAGAGAAGAUAUAUUGUAUAUUCAUGAUAUUGACUGUAUAUGUAGAUUGGAAACAAUAAAUGACUAACCACAUCUACCCUGUGUUAUAACACCAUGUGUUACAAUAGUAUGACUUAGGCGCUAUAAAUUUCAUUCAUUCCGUUGAAAUGUGCAGUUCAGAUGUUGUUUAGAAAAUAAACUUGUGAUAUUUGCUUAAAUAGGUUCAUUAAUGAAUAUACUUGCAAUUUAAGAUAAACAUAUGGUUAUAUUUGUUGUCUACAUUUAUAUAUUUUUUUGUGUAUGACUUUGUUCAAAUUUCAUACAAGUGUCCAUGAUAAUAUUUUUUUUUUAAAUUUUAUAUAGCUUUAAUGGAGUAGGCCCUAUACUGUAGUUGGGUAUAUUUUGGUUCUAGUCCAACUAAUUGUAUUAUGCGACGAGAUAUUGUGCCAUUUUCUUGUCUGGGCAAUAUCUCGCCUCUACAUAAAAACGAGAUUCUGCCCCUGGCAGAACGAAAAUAUCUCAGAAACAAGGUUUCGCACAUCAAUAUAUUUUGACUAAUUUUGGUUAAAACUACAAUGAUAGGAAAAUGUAUAUUUGGAUAUGUUUGAUUUUAUAUUAGUAAAUGUGCAUAUUAUAAUUUAUAAUGAAAACAGCAUUUUUUUGUAUAAAACAAUUACUUUUAGUAUUUUUGGACAAUAUUUGUGUAUAUUUGGGCAAUAUUUGGGUGUAUUUGGGCAAUAUUUGGGUAUUUCGUGCUGCCCCAUCUGAGAAUGGAAUUUAACCACACAUUUUAUAAAAUUUUCAAUUCAAUUCAAUUUAACAUGGAUGGUACACAGCAGAGGCUAUAGGGACAGCUUUCUGUCUUCUAGCUGAUGUAAUAGUCGGAUGCUGUUAAGUAAUGGUUCUGAUGAAGAAGUGCACAAGGCAUUUCACUGGAAAAUAUUAGCUUUUUUGAGGGGAAAAUAUACCUAUUUUUAGGUAGGGGAAACAGCCUUUAUUUGGCUGUAAAAUACAGGGGAAAAAAUCACUGACAUUUAAAUAUUCAAUGUAAGCCCUACUGAAUUGUCUGCUGAAAAAGUACUUGGAUUUUUUUAAAAAUUACUUUUAAAAAACAUAUAAAUGAAAAACUAAUUGAUUAAAGAAACUUUAAGUGAAAACUAAGUCUUGUUGAUCCCAUUCCUACCUAGAACACUAUACAUGUAUAAGGUCAUAAAUAAAGUUCAUUAA
Ruditapes philippinarum (Manila clam) is the source of this 1591-nucleotide long non-coding RNA. RefSeq lists it as uncharacterized. Lineage: Eukaryota; Metazoa; Mollusca; Bivalvia; Venerida; Veneridae. The record is from RefSeq and is a predicted model, not a curated record. The transcript is spliced from 3 exons.